UACAUUGAAUACUUUGUCAUUUGGAAAGAACCACAACUAGUAUAACCUUCUCUAAGAAUGUCUUGGGUUUUUCAGACUAUUUCAGUUUUUAAACAACAGAGUACACUGCAGAAAAUUACUUUCUAAUAUAACCCCAGAUCUUCACCUGAGUAAGGAGAGGAGAGAGACAGGAUCUGGCUGUGUAGCCCUGACUAGGCCAGACCGUACUGUGUAGCCAUGCUGGCCUUGACCUUGCGGUGAUCCUCCUUCCUCUGCCUGCCAGUGUCAGAGGCAUGGGCCGCGGCCUCCAGCAAAUCCAUCUUAAAUGAUUGCAGGAGGUUUUAUUUACUGAGAUUUGUCCAUUUGCACUGAGUUGUUUAUGAAAAGCAACAGCAUCGUUUAUAUUUUCUCUUCUGUGUUCAUUGCUUCUGACCUUUCCUUUGUCUUUCUUUGAACUGCUAGCAGUUUCAAUAUGGUUUGUACUGGACGCAUCACACAUUUCACAGGGGAUUCUCUACUCCUCCUACAUAGAGAAAUCACAUUUUCUCUUCUGCUUUUCAAUUUAACGUUUCUUUGAACGUUUUUAUUUUAAAGGUCUUCCCACUGCCCAGACACUAAUGAAUCUUUUUAUGAUGACACAAAGACACUUUAUUCCUAGAGAGCUGGUCCAAACUGGCUCAUCUACUCUUCCCUUUGUCAAGCACAGUCUCAUUUGAGGUCACUAUAAAGGCCAACAUUAUCCAAAGCAGCGAUCAGUACCUCUGUGCGUCGGGUAGCAGGGUUUCUUUCCUACUGUGGAAAAUGACAGAGAAUGUUAAGUAUGCAACAGAUGAAAUGUCUUAAAGUAAUUUGCAAACCGUAUCAAAGCACGGCAAGCCUCAUUUCAAACAGUUUACUGAACAUAGCAUCAGGCAAUUUUAUUCAUCUAGGGUCAGGCUACUAUGAUUUUAAUAUUUGCAUAAAAAGGUAAUUUUCCUGGAAAAAGCAUCAUCACCAGUCUACUUUAAAGUUAUAUCCUAUUCAAUUCUAUAAAGAAAAAAACAAGUUGCCUUUUAAAAAAGACACAUAAAUGCUUUCUGAGGCACAGAAGUAUACUAAGGUUUAAUAUGUUGUGUUUUAUUAUUUAUAACUCUUAAGAUUAAUUCUUUUCCUUUUUUUUUUUUUUUUUCAGAGCUGGGGACCAAAUCCAGGGCCUUGCGCUUGCUAGGCAAGCGCUCUACCACUGAGCUAAAUCCCCAGCCCCAAGAUUAAUUCUUAAUGCAGAUGGAGAAACUAUUGCACCUUGCAAAAAAGAAUGGUUAAUUUCAAAUCACAUCAUUUUCCCCCAAAAGUUGCUGUGGCUAACUUUCUGGUAUCAACAGCUAGCCCCACGUCUAAGAUAACUAGGGUAGAUCUCCCAAUUUGAGAGCUGGCCUGUGUGGUUAGGAACAGCUUUAACCCGUAAUGGAGAUUCCAGUUCCUACAUAGAGGCAUGCCAUCUGUAUGAUUUAUAAUACAAGGACUUUAUCUGCGACCAUCUCAGUGAUGUUUGUGUUGAUAAUAUUAUUCAUCUCACCAAACACUUUAAUAAAAAGAAAGCCCUGAAAUUAG
This 1569-nucleotide long non-coding RNA is filed under the name Rattus norvegicus (Norway rat). Its description in RNAcentral is "long non-coding RNA NONRATT020317". Lineage: Eukaryota; Metazoa; Chordata; Mammalia; Rodentia; Muridae. The record is from RNAcentral.